UACGAAGGGGGCUAGCGUUGUUCGGAAUUACUGGGCGUAAAGGGCGCGUAGGCGGUGUGUCAAGUCAGGCGUGAAAGCCCCGGGCCCAACCUGGGAACCGCGCUUGAGACUGGCACGCUCGAGUUCGGGAGAGGAUGGUGGAAUUCCCAGUGUAGAGGUGAAAUUCGUAGAUAUUGGGAAGAACACCGAUGGCGAAGGCAGCCAUCUGGACCGACACUGACGCUGAGGCGCGAAAGCGUGGGGAGCAAACAGG
RNAcentral lists this ribosomal RNA (253 nucleotides) under uncultured bacterium. Its description in RNAcentral is "partial 16S ribosomal RNA". It matches the Rfam family "Bacterial small subunit ribosomal RNA", at positions 524 to 776 of the family's 1533-position model. The record is from RNAcentral.